AUACAUAUAUCUCAACUUUCCUAUCAUGAAGUUCAAAAUGAAUUAUACAAACUUUCCAAGAAUACCGAGUUAAAUACAUAUUCAUAAUAAGCUUGUAUGAAGUUGGUAUGCUUUUAUUUUCAUGUCAUUUAUAGGAUUAAAAGUUUUGAUCAGAACAUGCAUGAUUAUUUUUUCAGAUCCCGACCUGUAUCUCAAUGAAAUAGUCUAUCGAUUCGACACCCAGUCUUCUCAAAUCGAUUUGGUACCCAAUCUUCUCAACACAUCCAUAUAAUCAUAAAGCUUGUUCAGGUUUGCAAUUAUAAUUGUGGAUUUUGUUUUGCCAGUGAUUUCGUUGAUUUUAAUUGUGGUUGAAAUUGUGUUUCUUUUAAUAACAUGUAAUGCAAGUGUAUAGUGAAUGUGUGUGUUGUGCGUGUGCUAUGCACGUGAGGAGUACGAGUGUUGAGAGAAGAUUGCUAUAUAUUCUCAUGUCUGUCUUGUAAACAAUCCAUCUUUAUUAUUAUCAAUCAAUUGAUUAAAUCGUUGCAAAUGUAGACAUCAGAUUUACCUGUGUUACUAUGGUAUCAGACUCAGAAAUCAAUUUCUGAGGAUAUCGAUCCUAUCCUGUUUCUUCAUCAAAACCACCAUUACUUCCAUCUUCAACAAUCAUCACCACAAUUAGUUCAUCAUCUUCUUCUUCUGCUGCUACUGUAGAUCGAGAAUUGAAGGCUGAUUUCACCAAAUCAUCUUUGUUUUGCAACAAAUUCGACUCAUCUAUGUGUUUCUAUCUACAUCUACAACAACAUUGUGUAAAUUUCUUCAUCCACCUCCAUUAAUGGUGUUUUCUGGUUGGAAUUAGGGUUUUGAUUUGGUUGAUACCUCUGCUACGUCAACAAAUAGGAUCAAGCAUGUAUUUUAUAUCUAAAAUUCAGUUUUAGGGUUUGAGCUCUUGGUUAUUUCAAUUUCCUGUUUGGUGUUUGGAUUGAAAUCUCUUACCUUAUCAACUAGAAUUGAGUCUCUGUUGGUAAUCCCCAAUUUCAUGUUUAGAUUACUUUAGAUUUGAUGUGUUCAAUUUCUACAUCACUUCCUCAACUACAUCCAGUUUCAUCUUCAACUGCUUUAUACAUCAUAAUUAGCUUGUAUUUUGCAUCUAAUUUCUUCAUCAAGAUCUAUCGUUCUUGAUUCCUGAUGCCGAUAUAGUCUAAGCGUGUUCUAGUCCGCUACACCAAGGUCUAGUUAGGACGAAAACUUAAAGUCGUUCCACUGAUUGGAUUCAGCAGAAGAUUGAGAAGUUGUUGGUCUCAUAUCUUACUUCAAGGCAGUCCUCACAUAUGUGUUGAAGAAUCUUGCGUUUUUUAAUGGUGUUUCUGCAAUUGAACAUCGAAUUGGAGUUGCUGAGUUACAUUAAGUACAAAUUGAUGUUCUCUUUGUUGAGUUUGUGUACACUUAGUAUGCAACCUGGUUUUCAUCUUGCAUGUGUGUUCAAUGUGCAACCUGUAGUUCUUCUACUUUUCAUAUUCUUUGAAUAAAACAAUUGAAGUUCAUCUUCAAUGGUUCUUUUUAAUUUUGUUUCGUGUGUGAGUAAAUACUUCAACCUGCUCUGGCCUUAAAGAGAAUAAUAAAAGGUUAAUAAUACAGUUGAAGCCAAGUCAUGUUGGAGUACAACAUAGAUUGGUCAAUAAAUUGCUUCAGCUCUUGUGUGAAUUGAAUGAGACAAGGUACAACUGGUGGGAAGAUUUCUUAUGUUGCAGCUGUGAUUGAUUCUUCAUAUUUGAUAACAGUGUAUGCUAAUGGAUGUUUAAAUGCUCAUAGUCUACAGUUUGAAUUGGUCCAAAGUCUAUCAUUUACAACAAUAUUUUCAACUUAUGGAGCCAAGUUAUUCAGUAACUUCAACAGACAUGUUCAAAUCUGGUCCUCAUCUGCAGUUCUAGAGAGUAAAUUCCAAUCUUAGCUAGCCUGCAAUUGUACCUCCAUAUGCUAGUUUAUGAGUAGCAUCCCCUCUAUCUGCACUUUAUAUACAUUUUCCUGAGUUGGUCUGAUUGGCGCUGGUUUAUCUUCAGAUUUUCUUUCAUGGUUCCUAACAUUUCGUAGUCUGCAAGUUACAGCGAUGGGAUUAUUCUUUUGGAGGUGUGUGUUGCAGUCAAGGUAUGAUGCUACAUGUGUUCAUUUUGGGUCAGAAUUCAGUCAAAGACAAAGGCUAGAGAAUGGUACUGCAACUGUGUGCUUAUGAGUAUUGUGCUUAAUGUUAUCUCUCUCAAGCCAAAGGUUCUCCAGCCGCUUACUCAUGGUUUUCAACAACAACCUCAUAGUGCUGGUUCCUUUCUUUUGGAGCUCAGUCGGUUGGUUGAUAGUGGUGCUCAGAUUUUUCGUUUGGUUUCAUUUUCUAUCAUUCAUUUCAGCUAUAUUUUAUUGUAUCUGCUGCUCCUGUCAAGUUCAACAAUAUCUAUGGAGGUCACUUACUUCAACUUUGUUCUGGGUUAUAUUUUCUAUUGUCAGAUUUAGCCAACUGCUUUCAGCAAUGCCUGGUAGUUUUAGAAAUGCUUAUCCACUUAUAAUUCAACUGCAACUACAAACUUUUUCUGCACCAACUAGUCAUGCACUACCAUCUCAACUACUUCUAUUGAUGCUUGUUUAUACCUGGUAUUUCUAGAUAUGCUGCAAUACCAAUUGCCUUACUUGCUUACUGUGUUAUUGCCUCUAUCAACACUACUGUUAUGGUCUGAACAACCCAACAUUUUCGUCUGCGACAAGUUCAAACUUCAGCAACAUAUAUUCGUAUUGCUUGUCCGUAUGCUUUAUUUUCUGUUGGUGAUUUCCAUGUAAUGCAAGUGUGUCGUGAAUGUGAUUACAAGCUCAAGUAUCCUCUUCAAGCCCCCCUUGAGCUUGAGGGAGGGUAAUAACAUGUAAUGCAAGUGUGUAGUGAAUGUGUGUGUUGCGCGUGUGCUAUGCACGUGAGGAGUACGAUUGUUGAAAGAAGAUUGCUAUAUAUUCUCAUGUAUCAAAUCAAUCAAACAAGAUGAUAAGUGAAUCUAAAUACUGGAUUCUCCUUAAUUCUGGUGACAGUAUUAGGAAAUACAGCUCUCUCAUUAAUUCUAUACCCACACAAUUAACUUUACGCCUCAUUUAUAUCUCCCACUAAACCCAUUUCGCGUUCACCCCACUUUCUCUCCCAGUGCUGGCUAUGUAACUUACGAUGAUGAACAAAAUAACUACUGCAACUUCGACGAUUUCCAUCAGCCGUAGUCAACCAAAAUCAAAGUAAGAUUCGCAGGAAACCAUUAUCCAGAAUCAAAUCCUUAAUGUUAUUAAGUUCGGCUUUUGAUCUCUCACGGAUUUUAGGUUCAAAAAUUGCGGAAUCUACGUGAUAAUUCUGAAUUUUCAAAACUGUUCUUUGAGAAUAAUCAAAAUCUCAAGGUGGUGUUGAUUCUAAGAAGGAAAACUAAACAACUUCAUGUAUGGUUUAACUCUAAAUAUACCGAGGCGAGAGCUACCUGUUGCCGCUAAUAAGUUCAAGGAAGAGUGCUUUUGGUGAAGAUGGAUUUGGACGUUUACAUAAGGGUUAUCUUGAAAACACUGGUCAGGUCAGUUGUGUUCUUGAAGCUAAUGUUAUAUUUGUUAAAUUGUUUUGUGUUUACACGUUGAAUUAGCGGUGUAAAUUCUGCUUUGCUGACAUACUGUGAUUGUUGUGAAGAAUCCAUCCUUCUUGGAAGUCUUCUCUGUGAUUGUUGCCUUUCUUUUGGGGUUAAUGAAAUCAAAAGCCUAUCUUCCUCUUACUCUUUGUGAUUCUGAAUAAUGAUUACUUCAAUUUGUUGUUUAAUUAUAUAUCAGAUUUUGAUUUAUGCGUGUGGCGAUGGAAUUGAAAGAGAAGUCCUGCAAUUCCCUUUUAUUUUAGGUUUAUCUUUUUUCAUGGAUCUUUUUGUUUAGCAUUCUAAAACAUCCUUAACAUGAGAAAUUUCUAAAUACACCCUCUGCUUUUCUGCAACGUGGACCAAACUGGUUCUGUGACUGAGAGCGUUAAAGUCUGAUGGACUGUUAUGGCUAGCCAACGAAGGUUGUACGCAUAACUUUAUUGGUAAUUUAAAAUCUUUAUUACAUGAGAUGUUGAACUAACUUCUCCUGUUAGGGGUGCAGCGGUCAAAUGGAAGAUAGUGGUGAAAGUGUGAAACCAAAUUAAGAUACAUUUAUUGCUGAUAUAUCUGGUGGUUUGGCAACUGUGAAUUUGUUUAUUUAUCUUUUUGUUAUAUUUAUAUUUAUCUUUUAUCUUAUUAUUUUUUGCUUAAUAAAGUGCUUCUUAAGGUGUUUCAUCUGUGUGUAAAACUGAAUAAAAUUUGUAAACCUCACCAAUUAUUACUCACAGAAAUAUUUGCCUUCGGUGAAACAGGGACAAAUCAAGACCGGAGCGCCUUGCAGAUCAAAACUAGAUUGGAUGACUGAGCUGUACCACUAGGUGAAAUUCUUCUGGUCAUAAUAUCGUCAUGCAUAAUCAAGCAGUGAUCAGGUUUAGCUGGUUGUGUUGCAGUACUGACAUUGUUGGUGAAAUUUGAUUCCUUUAAAAUUUGACCAAGUUGGGUGCGGUCUCUGUAGAUUAAUUGAAACUCUGAUUGUGUUUUGCAGGUGCAUAGUGCAUGCAUAUUGGUGGAGUAUUUGCUGAAGCCUACUGCAAUAAUCGAAGUCAGAUUGUACAAACAGCAGAAAGUUGAAAGAGAUGCUACAAUUGCUUUCUCCAUUAAUUAGUUCAGUACCAACAGAAGAGAAUGGUAACUUCUCCUUCCACCGCUUUCCAAAUAAAAAUUUCUCUUUACACUUUGUACUGGUUUGAAGGUACUAGCUAAAGAAAAAAUGGCAGCAGCCUGUAGAGCCCCAAGUAAAUUGCGUAGCCUGAAGUAAAUAGUGAUAUUUCAUUGGUAGUGGUAUUGGCGCCUUUUGUUUUGUUCGGAUGAGUGCCUUUUAUGUAAAAAAAUAUCUUUAAAUUAAUUGCAAGAAAUUUAUAGAACCUAUCUAGAUAGGGAAGUUUAAGAAUUGUAAAAUGAAAUUUGGUGUUUUCAGAAUAUGUCAGCAUAAAUAUUGUUUUCUCAAUUAAGAA
Long non-coding RNA from Papaver somniferum (opium poppy), 5059 nucleotides. RefSeq lists it as uncharacterized. The record is from RefSeq and is a predicted model, not a curated record. NCBI's taxonomy places the organism in Eukaryota, Viridiplantae, Streptophyta, Magnoliopsida, Ranunculales, Papaveraceae. The transcript is spliced from 3 exons.